This 1504-nucleotide ribosomal RNA is filed under the name Enterobacter sp. FCC192. RNAcentral's name for it is "bacterial SSU rRNA". It matches the Rfam family "Bacterial small subunit ribosomal RNA". Lineage: Bacteria; Pseudomonadati; Pseudomonadota; Gammaproteobacteria; Enterobacterales; Enterobacteriaceae. The record is from RNAcentral.
AGAGUUUGAUCCUGGCUCAGAUUGAACGCUGGCGGCAGGCCUAACACAUGCAAGUCGAGCGGUAGCACAGAGAGCUUGCUCUCGGGUGACGAGCGGCGGACGGGUGAGUAAUGUCUGGGAAACUGCCUGAUGGAGGGGGAUAACUACUGGAAACGGUAGCUAAUACCGCAUAACGUCGCAAGACCAAAGUGGGGGACCUUCGGGCCUCAUGCCAUCAGAUGUGCCCAGAUGGGAUUAGCUAGUAGGUGGGGUAAUGGCUCACCUAGGCGACGAUCCCUAGCUGGUCUGAGAGGAUGACCAGCCACACUGGAACUGAGACACGGUCCAGACUCCUACGGGAGGCAGCAGUGGGGAAUAUUGCACAAUGGGCGCAAGCCUGAUGCAGCCAUGCCGCGUGUAUGAAGAAGGCCUUCGGGUUGUAAAGUACUUUCAGCGAGGAGGAAGGCGUUAAGGUUAAUAACCUUGGCGAUUGACGUUACUCGCAGAAGAAGCACCGGCUAACUCCGUGCCAGCAGCCGCGGUAAUACGGAGGGUGCAAGCGUUAAUCGGAAUUACUGGGCGUAAAGCGCACGCAGGCGGUUUGUUAAGUCAGAUGUGAAAUCCCCGGGCUCAACCUGGGAACUGCAUUUGAAACUGGCAAGCUUGAGUCUUGUAGAGGGGGGUAGAAUUCCAGGUGUAGCGGUGAAAUGCGUAGAGAUCUGGAGGAAUACCGGUGGCGAAGGCGGCCCCCUGGACAAAGACUGACGCUCAGGUGCGAAAGCGUGGGGAGCAAACAGGGUUAGAUACCCUGGUAGUCCACGCUGUAAACGAUGUCGACUUGGAGGUUGUUCCCUUGAGGAGUGGCUUCCGGAGCUAACGCGUUAAGUCGACCGCCUGGGGAGUACGGCCGCAAGGUUAAAACUCAAAUGAAUUGACGGGGGCCCGCACAAGCGGUGGAGCAUGUGGUUUAAUUCGAUGCGACGCGAAGAACCUUACCUACUCUUGACAUCCAGAGAACUUAGCAGAGAUGCUUUGGUGCCUUCGGGAACUCUGAGACAGGUGCUGCAUGGCUGUCGUCAGCUCGUGUUGUGAAAUGUUGGGUUAAGUCCCGCAACGAGCGCAACCCUUAUCCUUUGUUGCCAGCGGUUCGGCCGGGAACUCAAAGGAGACUGCCAGUGAUAAACUGGAGGAAGGUGGGGAUGACGUCAAGUCAUCAUGGCCCUUACGAGUAGGGCUACACACGUGCUACAAUGGCAUAUACAAAGAGAAGCGACCUCGCGAGAGCAAGCGGACCUCAUAAAGUAUGUCGUAGUCCGGAUUGGAGUCUGCAACUCGACUCCAUGAAGUCGGAAUCGCUAGUAAUCGUAGAUCAGAAUGCUACGGUGAAUACGUUCCCGGGCCUUGUACACACCGCCCGUCACACCAUGGGAGUGGGUUGCAAAAGAAGUAGGUAGCUUAACCUUCGGGAGGGCGCUUACCACUUUGUGAUUCAUGACUGGGGUGAAGUCGUAACAAGGUAGCCGUA